This is a long non-coding RNA of Suricata suricatta (meerkat), 557 nucleotides long. RefSeq lists it as uncharacterized. Lineage: Eukaryota; Metazoa; Chordata; Mammalia; Carnivora; Herpestidae. The record is from RefSeq and is a predicted model, not a curated record. The transcript is spliced from 3 exons.
GGUCCGCCGGGCGGGGGGCGGGGUGCAGAGAAACGCGCGGGUGAGAGAAUUCCGCGGCCUACCCGCCGCCCCCUGCGCCCAGAUACGCCGCUCGUAGAUUUCCCCUGGGCGGACAGGUGUCAGCAUGUGCAUUUCGGUGCCAACCUGCGUGUGGCUGCCUGGUGAAAUUCAAGUCUUGUGAAAUUCAAACGUGAAACUUGUGAAAUCCAGACUUUUCGUUUAUUAAUGGCCGCGAGUGAGCCGUAAUCAAGGGGCAGCCUCCAAAGGAAACGCGAUUGGCUCGCUUGCAGGAACCCAGCCACUCGGGUCGGUGGUCCUCUGGGCCUUGAAUCCCUGAAUGGCUCUGGUGGACAGUGGCAGUCUGAUGGUGAACCUAGGCUUGGACACCCUGACCCCUUCCUCCCCUCUGAGCCCUUAUCUGACAUCUAGACUGUGCUGCACAUCACUGCUGCCACCAGGCACAGGUGACGACUGGGCACCUGAAACCUGGGGAGUCUGAACUGAGAUGUGCUGGAAUGGAAAUACCAAGUACUGUGGAUUUCCAAGGCUUAGUACAA